GGGUUGUGAGGUUAAGCGACUAAGCGUACACGGUGGAUGCCCUGGCAGUCAGAGGCGAUGAAGGACGUGCUAAUCUGCGAUAAGCGCCGGUAAGGUGAUAUGAACCGUUAUAACCGGCGAUUUCCGAAUGGGGAAACCCAGUGUGAUUCGUCACACUAUCAUUAACUGAAUCCAUAGGUUAAUGAGGCGAACCGGGGGAACUGAAACAUCUAAGUACCCCGAGGAAAAGAAAUCAACCGAGAUUCCCCCAGUAGCGGCGAGCGAACGGGGAGGAGCCCAGAGCCUGAAUCAGCAUGUGUGUUAGUGGAAGCGUCUGGAAAGGCGCGCGAUACAGGGUGACAGCCCCGUACACAAAAGCGCAUGUGCUGUGAGCUCGAUGAGUAGGGCGGGACACGUGGUAUCCUGUCUGAAUAUGGGGGGACCAUCCUCCAAGGCUAAAUACUCCUGACUGACCGAUAGUGAACCAGUACCGUGAGGGAAAGGCGAAAAGAACCCCGGCGAGGGGAGUGAAAAAGAACCUGAAACCGUGUACGUACAAGCAGUGGGAGCACAGGUUUACCUGUGUGACUGCGUACCUUUUGUAUAAUGGGUCAGCGACUUAUAUUCUGUAGCAAGGUUAACCGUAUAGGGGAGCCGUAGGGAAACCGAGUCUUAACCGGGCGUUAAGUUGCAGGGUAUAGACCCGAAACCCGGUGAUCUAGCCAUGGGCAGGUUGAAGGUUGGGUAACACUAACUGGAGGACCGAACCGACUAAUGUUGAAAAAUUAGCGGAUGACCUGUGGCUGGGGGUGAAAGGCCAAUCAAACCGGGAGAUAGCUGGUUCUCCCCGAAAGCUAUUUAGGUAGCGCCUCGUGAAUUCAUCUCCGGGGGUAGAGCACUGUUUCGGCUAGGGGGCCAUCCCGGCUUACCAACCCGAUGCAAACUGCGAAUACCGGAGAAUGUUAUCACGGGAGACACACGGCGGGUGCUAACGUCCGUCGUGAAGAGGGAAACAACCCAGACCGCCAGCUAAGGUCCCAAAGUCAUGGUUAAGUGGGAAACGAUGUGGGAAGGCCCAGACAGCCAGGAUGUUGGCUUAGAAGCAGCCAUCAUUUAAAGAAAGCGUAAUAGCUCACUGGUCGAGUCGGCCUGCGCGGAAGAUGUAACGGGGCUAAACCAUGCACCGAAGCUGCGGCAGCGACGCUGAUGCGUUGUUGGGUAGGGGAGCGUUCUGUAAGCCUGCGAAGGUGGCCUGUGAGGGUUGCUGGAGGUAUCAGAAGUGCGAAUGCUGACAUAAGUAACGAUAAAGCGGGUGAAAAGCCCGCUCGCCGGAAGACCAAGGGUUCCUGUCCAACGUUAAUCGGGGCAGGGUGAGUCGACCCCUAAGGCGAGGCCGAAAGGCGUAGUCGAUGGGAAACGGGUUAAUAUUCCCGUACUUGGUGUUACUGCGAAGGGGGGACGGAGAAGGCUAUGUUGGCCGGGCGACGGUUGUCCCGGUUUAAGCGUGUAGGUGUGUGUUCCAGGUAAAUCCGGUUCACUUUAACACUGAGGCGUGACGACGAGGCACUACGGUGCUGAAGCAACAAAUGCCCUGCUUCCAGGAAAAGCCUCUAAGCAUCAGGUAACAUCAAAUCGUACCCCAAACCGACACAGGUGGUCAGGUAGAGAAUACCAAGGCGCUUGAGAGAACUCGGGUGAAGGAACUAGGCAAAAUGGUGCCGUAACUUCGGGAGAAGGCACGCUGACACGUAGGUGAAGUGAUUUACUCAUGGAGCUGAAGUCAGUCGAAGAUACCAGCUGGCUGCAACUGUUUAUUAAAAACACAGCACUGUGCAAACACGAAAGUGGACGUAUACGGUGUGACGCCUGCCCGGUGCCGGAAGGUUAAUUGAUGGGGUCAGCGCAAGCGAAGCUCCUGAUCGAAGCCCCGGUAAACGGCGGCCGUAACUAUAACGGUCCUAAGGUAGCGAAAUUCCUUGUCGGGUAAGUUCCGACCUGCACGAAUGGCGUAAUGAUGGCCAGGCUGUCUCCACCCGAGACUCAGUGAAAUUGAACUCGCUGUGAAGAUGCAGUGUACCCGCGGCAAGACGGAAAGACCCCGUGAACCUUUACUAUAGCUUGACACUGAACAUUGAGCCUUGAUGUGUAGGAUAGGUGGGAGGCUUUGAAGU
Molecule: ribosomal RNA, 2150 nt
Filed under: Salmonella enterica subsp. enterica serovar Mbandaka
Lineage: Bacteria; Pseudomonadati; Pseudomonadota; Gammaproteobacteria; Enterobacterales; Enterobacteriaceae
Description: partial 23S ribosomal RNA
Rfam family: Bacterial large subunit ribosomal RNA
Source: RNAcentral